Molecule: ribosomal RNA, 491 nt
Filed under: uncultured bacterium
Lineage: Bacteria
Description: partial 16S ribosomal RNA
Rfam family: Bacterial small subunit ribosomal RNA
Source: RNAcentral
UGUGAACGCUGGCGGUAGGCCUAACACAUGCAAGUCGAACGGCAGCACAGUAAGAGCUUGCUCUUACGGGUGGCGAGUGGCGGACGGGUGAGGAAUACAUCGGAAUCUACUUUUUCGUGGGGGAUAACGUAGGGAAACUUACGCUAAUACCGCAUACGACCUACGGGUGAAAGCAGGGGAUCUUCGGACCUUGCGCGAUUGAAUGAGCCGAUGUCGGAUUAGCUAGUUGGCGGGGUAAAGGCCCACCAAGGCGACGAUCCGUAGCUGGUCUGAGAGGAUGAUCAGCCACACUGGAACUGAGACACGGUCCAGACUCCUACGGGAGGCAGCAGUGGGGAAUAUUGGACAAUGGGCGCAAGCCUGAUCCAGCCAUACCGCGUGGGUGAAGAAGGCCUUCGGGUUGUAAAGCCCUUUUGUUGGGAAAGAAAAGCAGCAGGUUAAUACCCCGCUGUUCUGACGGUACCCAAAGAAUAAGCACCGGCUAACUUCGU